CCGGUUAGGGUUUCUUACGCUUCGGCGAAAUUAGACCUAUAAAUAUGCGCUUCCAUCUGCAGCGGUUGCUCUGUGAUUACAUGCCUUAACAGGGCAAUAUACGCUAUUCUGAAGAUGAAAGUUGUGUAGAGAUCUACUGAAAUGAAAUGAGAGCUUCUGCUACAGUUUGUGUUUUUCGUGUUUUGUUUAUUUGUUUUGAGAUUUUUGAAUUUUUAUUUUUAUUUUGCGAUGAUGAAUUAUGAAUUAAAUUCACAUGUCAGACUUCGGAGAUUUUUCUUUUCUCGGAAAGAUAAGUCGAUGAGAAUGAAUAUUCAUAUUCUGAGCUUAAGUUUCGGUUUAAUCCUUUGGUUUUAGCAUCUUGUAAUUCUUGGAUUCAUUAUAUUUCAUGGGACUUUUUUUGUUCAUUUGCCAUCGAAGCCUUUGUCUUAGCCUAAGCCUGCGCACCAAAGAUUUUCUAAUGGAAUGAUGAAGGAAUUUUGUAGAUUUAUAUCGUUCCAAAACUUGUAUGUUCACUUUGUUCUUCGUUUGUUCGUGUCAAGCUUUUUUCUUUCAAGGAAUGGAAUAAGAGGGUGUUUGGGACUGAGAGGAUUGGAAGUGGGGCUUUCUUCCAGAUCUAAUUUUGGAAUUGUCAAAUAGCUUAAGGAGCAUUACAUUUUUUAGAGGAUGAGAAGUUAUACGAAGAGUAACAACGGAAUCGUGCAAUUGUUUAGAUUUUCCCCGUGCUGCUUAUGGAACAAAAAUCUGGAUUUAGGAUGAGAUUUAUCCUAAGAAACCGGAGGAACUAAGAUUGUUAUCGGAAUCGAUUUUUAAAAUUAUCGUGGUUACAAUAUUUAAAAAAUA
Long non-coding RNA from Cucumis melo (muskmelon), 840 nucleotides. RefSeq lists it as uncharacterized. Lineage: Eukaryota; Viridiplantae; Streptophyta; Magnoliopsida; Cucurbitales; Cucurbitaceae. The transcript has 2 exons. The record is from RefSeq and is a predicted model, not a curated record.